UACAGAGGGUGCGAGCGUUAAUCGGAGUUACUGGGCGUAAAGGGCGCGUAGGCGGUUUAAUAAGAUUGAUGUGAAAUCCCUGGGCUUAACCUAGGAACUGCAUCGAUGACUGUUAAGCUAGAGUAUUGUAGAGGGUAGUAGAAUUUCCGGUGUAGCGGUGAAAUGCGUAGAGAUCGGAAGGAAUACCAGUGGCGAAGGCGGCUACCUGGACAAAUACUGACGCUGAGGCGCGAGAGCGUGGGGAGCAAACAGG
This 253-nucleotide ribosomal RNA is filed under the name uncultured bacterium. RNAcentral describes it as "partial 16S ribosomal RNA". It matches the Rfam family "Bacterial small subunit ribosomal RNA", at positions 524 to 776 of the family's 1533-position model. The record is from RNAcentral.